CUGCCAAAAAACCAUCAGUCAGUGAGAGGAUGUGUGCACCAUCAGUUAAUGAAAGCAAAGUGAUAGACUGUGUGCACCAAUAGUCAGGGAAAGGAUAGUGAUAGACUGAGUGCACCAUCAGUCAGGAAAAGGAUAGUGGUAAACUGUGUGUACCAUUAGUCAGGGAAGGGAUAGUGAUAGACUGUGUGCAACAUCAGUCAGGAAAAGAAUAGUGGUCAUCUUUGUGCAACAUCAGGCAGGGAAAUGAUGGUGAUAGACUGAGUGCACCAUCAGUCAGUGAUAGGAUUGUGAGAGGAUGUGUGCACCAUCACUCAGGGAAAGUGUAGUGACUAGUGAGAGACCAUCAGAAAGGAAAAAAAUAGAGACUGUGUGUACCAUCAGUCGGGGAAAGGAUGGUAAUAGACUGUGUGCACCAUCAGUUAGGGAAAGGAUAGUGAUAUACUGUGUGCACCAUUAGUCAGGGCAAGAACAGGGACAGGCUGUGUGCACUAACAGUCAGAGAAAGGUUAGU
Pelobates cultripes (western spadefoot toad) is the source of this 511-nucleotide non-coding RNA. NCBI's taxonomy places the organism in Eukaryota, Metazoa, Chordata, Amphibia, Anura, Pelobatidae. The record is from the annotation of a GenBank genome assembly.